GGGGAUCUAGCUCAUCGGUAGAGCGCUCCCUUAGCACCAAGUGGAGAAUCCGGGAGUCGAACCCGGAUUCAAUUCAUGCUUGGGAGAGGCGCCGGGUUCGACUCCCUGGUUCUCCA
This is a non-coding RNA of Tulasnella sp. UAMH 9824, 116 nucleotides long. NCBI's taxonomy places the organism in Eukaryota, Fungi, Basidiomycota, Agaricomycetes, Cantharellales, Tulasnellaceae. The record is from the annotation of a GenBank genome assembly.